AUUGAACGCUGGCGGCAUGCCUUACACAUGCAAGUCGAACGGUAACAGGUCUUCGGAUGCUGACGAGUGGCGAACGGGUGAGUAAUACAUCGGAACGUGCCUAGUAGUGGGGGAUAACUACUCGAAAGAGUGGCUAAUACCGCAUGAGAUCUACGGAUGAAAGCAGGGGAUCGCAAGACCUUGUGCUACUAGAGCGGCCGAUGGCAGAUUAGGCAGUUGGUGGGAUAAAAGCUUACCAAGCCGACGAUCUGUAGCUGGUCUGAGAGGACGAUCAGCCACACUGGGACUGAGACACGGCCCAGACUCCUACGGGAGGCAGCAGUGGGGAAUUUUGGACAAUGGGCGAAAGCCUGAUCCAGCAAUGCCGCGUGCAGGAAGAAGGCCUUCGGGUUGUAAACUGCUUUUGUCAGGGAAGAAAUCUUCUGGGCUAAUACCCCGGGAGGAUGACGGUACCUGAAGAAUAAGCACCGGCUAACUACGUGCCAGCCGCCGCCGUAA
Molecule: ribosomal RNA, 498 nt
Filed under: uncultured bacterium
Lineage: Bacteria
Description: partial 16S ribosomal RNA
Rfam family: Bacterial small subunit ribosomal RNA
Source: RNAcentral